GACGAACGCUGGCGGCGUGCUUAACACAUGCAAGUCGAACGAUGAAGCCUUUCGGGGUGGAUUAGUGGCGAACGGGUGAGUAACACGUGGGCAAUCUGCCCUGUACUUUGGGAUAAGCCUUGGAAACGAGGUCUAAUACCGGAUAUGACUGGCCUUCGCAUGGGGUUGGGUUGGAAAGUUCUGGCGGUACAGGAUGAGCCCGCGGCCUAUCAGCUUGUUGGUGGGGUAAGUGGCCUACCAAGGCGACGACGGGUAGCCGGCCUGAGAGGGCGACCGGCCACACUGGGACUGAGACACGGCCCAGACUCCUACGGGAGGCAGCAGUGGGGAAUAUUGCACAAUGGGCGAAAGCCUGAUGCAGCGACGCCG
RNAcentral lists this ribosomal RNA (369 nucleotides) under uncultured bacterium. Its description in RNAcentral is "bacterial SSU rRNA". It matches the Rfam family "Bacterial small subunit ribosomal RNA", at positions 28 to 399 of the family's 1533-position model. The record is from RNAcentral.